RNAcentral lists this long non-coding RNA (1761 nucleotides) under Canis lupus familiaris (dog). RNAcentral's name for it is "lncRNA (ENSCAFG00040006272.1)". Lineage: Eukaryota; Metazoa; Chordata; Mammalia; Carnivora; Canidae. The record is from RNAcentral.
AUGGGCGGGAGGACAGGGCAAGCCCUGGGGGCGGAGGGAGGGGGCGGGUGCUGGAGGCAGAGGGAGCAGGUGCACGUGCUGGAGGGGCCGGCGGUGCCUGGCGCUGGUCCCGCGGGCUGGGCAGGGAGGGGGGUCCGGCCGGGUUUCAGCGGGUCAUCCUGGCACGGGGCGAGGAAGGCCCUCCCGAGGGCGGCUGGCCCCGCCCGGGCUGUCCCCCCCCCCCCCGCCCGGCGGCCAGUGCAGCGCCCACCUGGCGGCAGGUGCACAGCGGGGCCCGGCCUGGAGGGCGGAGGCGCCCGCGGCGCUCGGGGGACGCUGUGGGGCGUGGCCGGUGCUCUGGGAGGGGACCCCGGGCGCGGCGCGGUGCCGGCGCCUCCAGGGGACUUUUCCUUCUCUGACGUCGUCGCGGAGGGAGGGAGGGAGGGAGGGAGGGAGGCAGCGGAGGGGCCGCCCGGGGGGGGAUGCUCCCGGCAGGCGCCGUCGCCCACUGGCCCUGCUGCGGCGGCUCGGCGGCGGCUGGGGGCCCGGCGUCCUGCGGCCACCUCGGGGCUCGGGCUCGGGCUCGGGCUCGGGCUCGGGGCCGCGGUGCCAUCGGGGCGGCGGGCGGAGGGGCGGAGGGGCGGCCCGGCUGCAGCGGCCCCAGGCGCGUCCCCGGCGGCGGAGCUGCCCCUGCGCGCCCCCAGGCGGCGGCCGCCCCGAGGGUCCCGCAGACACGCGCCGGGCCGCGGCGGGGAGGCUCCCGGGGCGCGGCGCCAAUCGGGAGGGAGCACGGGCCGCCCCGCCCCCGCCCCCGCCCCCGCCCCCGCCCCCCGCGCAGGCCGGAGCCCGGGCGUGACCCGCCGAGACCCGCGGCGCAAGGUCCACAGCCGGGCCCGACGCCCCGACGCCCCGACGCCCCGACGCCGCGCCCCCCCGCCCCGCCCCCGCCCGCGCGGCCCCGCAGCGCCCUCGGCCCCGCAGCGCCCCGCGGAGGGACGGGACGGGCCGGCCCCGACUCACCUCUCGGCCGCGAGCCGCCCGGGCGGCGGCCUCCCUCCGUGGCUGCGGCCCGGGGCCCCCGGCAGGAGCAGCGCGAGGCAGGCGGCGCGGAGGACCAGGGCGGCCCACAUGGCGGGCGGCGGCCCCGCUGGGCUGCGCUCGGGCGCCCGGGGAGGGGCAGGGCGGGGGCCCGGCGCCGCGGAGCGAGACCAGGAGCAGCGCCGCUCGCCGGCCGCGGCCUCUGGACGAGCGCGGAGCCCGGGGCGGGGGCAAAGAUCAGGGACCCCUGGGGGCGGGGCCUCACCCGGGCCCACACCCCGGCCCCGCUCCGCUCGGCGGCCUGGGAGGGCUGCGGGCGCCGGACCGAGGCCAGGGCCGGGCCGAGACGCGGGGCUCCCCGAGCGGGCGGGGGCGGGGGCGGGGGCGGGCGCCGAGGCCGGGCGCGGGGCACGGCUGCCCGGGAAGGCGGAGGCAGGGCCGCGCCCCGGUCCACCUGCCCCCGGCCAGGGGACGCCGGCGACGCCCGGGCCCGGAGGCGCCCCUUCGCCCCCUUCCGCGGCUGCCCCGGGCCGGGCCGCAGCCAGAGACCGGCGGGCGGGGAGCGGGGAGCGGAGGGAAAGCGGACCUUCCAGCGGCGAGGAGGCAGCGAGGACGCCCAGACCCCUCUGCCCCGGGCAGGAGGCCCCCCGGCCCCCCAGAUCCCGCCACCCAAGCUUCCGCUCACACACUUCCAGGGACGAGGAGCUCACCUGCCGAAGGGGAGCCCAAGCCAGUUUUGCGUGA